Transfer RNA from Ovis aries (sheep), 71 nucleotides. It matches the Rfam family "tRNA". Rfam says of the family: Transfer RNA (tRNA) molecules are approximately 80 nucleotides in length. Their secondary structure includes four short double-helical elements and three loops (D, anti-codon, and T loops). Lineage: Eukaryota; Metazoa; Chordata; Mammalia; Artiodactyla; Bovidae. The record is from Rfam.
UCCCUGGUGAUCUAGUGUUUAAGAAUCUGUCUUCCAAGCAGGGGACACAGGUCCGAUCCCUGGUCAGGGAA